UGGCUUGGAAGCAGCCAUUCAUUUAAAGAGUGCGUAACAGCUCACUAGUCGAGCGAUCCGGCAUGGAUAAUAAUCGGGCAUAAACAUACUACCGAAGCUAUGGACUUGUAAAAGUGGUAGGGGAGCAUUGUAGUGUCGUCGAAGGUGAAGCGUGAGCUUUGCUGGAGAAGCUACAAAAGAAAAUGUAGGCAUAAGUAACGAUAAUGCGGGCGAGAAACCCGCACACCGAAAGACUAAGGUUUCCUCAGCUAUGCUAAUCAGCUGAGGGUUAGUCGGGACCUAACGCGAACCCGAAAGGGGUAGUGGAUGGACAACAGGUUAAUAUUCCUGUACCUGCUCACGCUAAAAGUGACGGAGGCGAAAAGUUAGUGCGCACAGACGGAAUUGUGCGUUGAAGCCAGUGGUAACACGGCGAUAGUACACUAAGGCUUCGGCUGCGGUGAUAAUCUAGCAAAUCGACUUCCAAGAAAAGCAAGUGAAGCAGCCCGUACCCUAAACCGACACAGGUAGUUGGGAUGAGAAUUCUAAGGUGCUCGAGAGAUUCAUGGCUAAGGAACUAGGCAAAAUCGACCCGUAACUUCGGGAGAAGGGUCGCCCAUCUUCGGAUGGGCCGCAGUGAAGAGGUCCAGGCGACUGUUUAUCAAAAACACAGGGCUCUGCUAAAUCGAGAGAUGAAGUAUAGGGCCUGACACCUGCCCGGUGCCGGAAGGUUAAGGGGAGACGUUAGCUUCGGCGAAGCGUUGAGCUGAAGCCCCGGUAAACGGCGGCCGUAACUAUAACGGUCCUAAGGUAGCGAAAUUCCUUGUCGGGUAAGUUCCGACCUGCACGAAUGGUGCAACGAUCUGGACACUGUCUCAGCCAUGAGCUCGGUGAAAUUGUAGUAUCGGUGAAGAUGCCGGUUACCCGCUGUGGGACGAAAAGACCCCGUGAACCUUUACUGUAGCUUAACAUUGCUUCUGGGCAAGUGACGUGUAGGAUAGGUGGGAGGCUAUGAGCCGGUGUCGCUAGGCAUCGGGGAGCCGUUGUUGAAAUACCACCCUUCACUUGCUUAGGAUCUAACCCAUUUUAUGGGAACAUUGUUUGGUGGGCAGUUUGACUGGGGUGGUCGCCUCCAAAAGAGUAACGGAGGCUUCCAAAGGUCCCCUCAGCACGCUUGGCAACCGUGCGUGGAGUGCAAUGGCACAAGGGGGCUUGACUGAGAGGCAUACAGGCCGACCAGGUACGAAAGUAGGGCAUAGUGAUCCGGUGGUUCCGCAUGGAAGGGCCAUCGCUCAAAGGAUAAAAGGU
This 1287-nucleotide ribosomal RNA is filed under the name seawater metagenome. RNAcentral describes it as "bacterial LSU rRNA". It matches the Rfam family "Bacterial large subunit ribosomal RNA", at positions 1102 to 2464 of the family's 2925-position model. The record is from RNAcentral.